RNAcentral lists this long non-coding RNA (218 nucleotides) under Trifolium pratense (red clover). RNAcentral's name for it is "long non-coding RNA (TPRA_LNC011794)". Lineage: Eukaryota; Viridiplantae; Streptophyta; Magnoliopsida; Fabales; Fabaceae. The record is from RNAcentral.
AAUUAUGUGUCAUUUGUACUUGAUACUUGAUAAUUGUCAUUGAUUUAACAUAAGUGUUUCUUUGAUAAUUAUGUGUGUAUUUGUUAUCUAAUUCGUUGUGCUAUAUUGUUAAUGAGUAUGCUUAUUAGAUAGAAUUGUGUAGGAACAUAUAUGCUUAUGCCUUACUUUUAUUUACUCAAGUGUGGAUAGUAAUCGAGUUACUUGCACUUAGUCGGAUA